AAAAAACACAACCACCAUGGCCGGCGGAGAAGCCACCGCCGUUGCCGGAGACCACCCUAUUGCCACCCUACUACGGCUACUCCAUGAGGUGUCACAGAUCUCAAUUGCUGGAUUUUAUGGUAAAUUCAAGAAAGAUUGUACAGAUUUAGCAAGAAGAGUUACACUUUUGGCUCAUUUGUUUGAUGAGUUAAAAGACACAAAUACCCUUUUGGGUUCUUCAUCUUCUUCAUUCAAUUCUUGUUUUUCUGAUCUCUCUGUUGCUCUUCAAGCUGCAAAACAACUACUUUUAGCAGCUAAUGAACUUGAUCCCAAGAUCCACUCUGAUGUCGCAGUGAAGAAAAUAAACUUCCGGUUUCAAUGUGUUACAUGGAAAUUGGAGAAAGCCCUUGGUAACUUCCCAUAUGAUCAUUUUGACAUAUCAGAAGAAGUACAAGAGCAGGUUGAAUUGGUCAGAGCACAGUUGAGACGAGCCACAGAAAAGUAUGGUGGCCCUGUGAAGUCAAACUUAUUAUCUCGAGCAUCGUCACAACCACUGGAUAAAGAGAUUGAUCUACUCCAUUCAGGAAAUAGUGGAAUUGGAACUUUACAUAUAGAAAAUAUUGGCAAUAUUGAUCAUGAAGUUAGGCCAAAAGUUGGACGUGUUCCUCGAGGUAGUGUUCGAAACCAAAGUUAUUGCAGUCGGAUUUUUCAGGAGUCGGAAAGAAUAGGAAAUUCAUCCAAAUUGUCUGGUAUUGGUGAUCCGGAGAUUUUCGGGGAAGAUGACUCUCCGCUUAAGAGUCACGAGGAGAGUAAAAAGUCCAACUGUCCUGUAACUCCUACAGAGUUUAUUUGCCCUAUAUCCCUUGAGCUCAUGAGGGAUCCUGUUAUUGUGGCUGCCACAGGGCAGACUUAUGAGAGAUCGUACAUACAACAAUGGAUAGAUGGCGGCCACACAACAUGCCCAAAAACUCAGCAACAGCUCCACAAUCUCACGCUUACCCCAAACUAUGCUCUGCGAAAUCUAAUUAUCGAUUGGUGUGCAAAGAACAAUAUACAACAGCCAACCGUAUUUGCAAAUGGGAAAAUAAAGAGAAGUGAUGGAUCAUUUCGCUAUGUUAUUGGGGAAAUAGGAGCUAUGGAGGUACUUGUCCGAAAGCUUUCAAGCAGGUCCGUGGAGGAUUGCAGGGCUGCAGUAGCCGAGAUCCGUUCACUUUCCAAAAGAAGCACAGACAACAGAAUUUUGAUUGCUGAAGCGGGAGCAAUUCCAGUCCUAGUUAAGUUGUUGACAUCUGAAGACACGCAAAUCCAAGAGAAUGCAGUCACUGCCGUUCUUAACCUUUCUAUAUUCGAUGACAACAAAAGGAUUAUAAUGCUAUCUGAUGCCAUUCCUUCUAUCGUUCAAGUUCUCAGAGCGGGGAGCACGGAGGCAAAAGAGAAUGCAGCCGCAACCAUUUUUAGUUUGUCGCUUGGAAACGAGAAUAAAAUACUAAUAGGCGCGUCAGGAGCCAUACCAGCUCUCAUAGAUUUGCUUCUGUCAGGAAAUACCAGAGGAAAAAAAGACGCUGCAUCAGCAUUGUUUAAUUUGUGCAUAUAUCAAGGAAACAAGGGUCGAGCUGUUCGUGCAGGGAUUAUACCAGCGCUGCUGGAAAUGCUAACGGAUUCAAGCAGCUGCAUGGUCGAUGAACCUUUGACCAUUCUUUCUGUCCUAGCUAACAACCAAGAGGCUAAGGAGGCCAUAGCAAAAACUAGCACAAUCCCAGUAUUGAUAGAUCUUCUUAGGACAGGUCUAUCUCGUAGUAAAGAGAAUGCAGCUGCCAUCUUACUCUCGUUGUGCAAGAGAGAUUCCGAGAACCUUUCUUGCCUUUGUAGGCUCGGUGCUGUUAUACCUCUUACACAGCUCACAAUGAGUGGCACGGAGAGGGCCAAGAGGAAGGCGACUUCACUGUUGGAGCAUAUUAGAAAGUCUCAGCAACAUAGCACGCGCAUUUAGGUACUUCUCGUUAUUUAUCCUUUCAUUCAGAUCUGACCACGAAUAUUACACGUUAUCUUUUACAGUGUGAUCGACUUAAAACAAGCAUGAG
RNAcentral lists this unclassified non-coding RNA (2060 nucleotides) under Hevea brasiliensis (rubber tree). Lineage: Eukaryota; Viridiplantae; Streptophyta; Magnoliopsida; Malpighiales; Euphorbiaceae. The record is from RNAcentral.